This 648-nucleotide long non-coding RNA is filed under the name Phoenix dactylifera (date palm). RNAcentral describes it as "long non-coding RNA (PDAC_LNC009443)". Lineage: Eukaryota; Viridiplantae; Streptophyta; Magnoliopsida; Arecales; Arecaceae. The record is from RNAcentral.
UUCAAUCAAUUAUGCUAUUCUCUGGAUUUCAGAUCAUGCAUUAUUUGAUUUCAAACAUUGUAAUCUAAUUGCAAUUCUAAAAACAAGAUACAAGAUACAAGAUCAAAAGAGAACAAAAAUCUGCAUGCUAAAUAAUUUCAGCAACCUAAAAUUUCAGCAUGCAGAAAAUCCAGCAAGCAUAAUCCUUUAAAAAUCUGAUUAAAAAUGUGGUAAUCAAUCCUUAAAUCUUAAUUAUGCUCCCUAGAACCAUGGCUCUGGUACCACUGCUGAGAUACGCUCCGUUCGAUGCGACGUUUGCAGCGAAAUUCGAACGGAACGUCGUUCAUCGUAUGAACAUGCCUCGGAUCGUAGAAUUCAAAAAUUUUUCUAGAUCCAAAUCUAGAAGAUCUUUGAACUCAUCAGGGAGGGAAGAUUAGGAUCUGAGAAGGGUUGAUUAAGAUUCAUAAAACUGAAACAAAAAUCAGAAGUUAUAAAUUUAAAGAUCUCAUCUUCAAAAAUUCUGCAGGUGUAGAACACCGCAGCCUGAUGAUCUUUCUAGGUUCCUGCUUAAGCCGCACACGGGUCCGGCCUCUACAGGUAUCCACACGAGGAUCUAAUCAUUUGAGAUAAGGUCUUACCGGAGUGCUAACUCCUUGCAAAGAUCUCUCA